ACCUGACCCCAUGCCGAACUCAGAAGUGAAACGCUGUAGCGCCGAUGGUAGUGUGGGGUCUCCCCAUGCGAGAGUAGGGAACUGCCAGGC
This 90-nucleotide ribosomal RNA is filed under the name Salmonella enterica. RNAcentral also lists the same sequence under 1 other name. Lineage: Bacteria; Pseudomonadati; Pseudomonadota; Gammaproteobacteria; Enterobacterales; Enterobacteriaceae. The record is from RNAcentral.